This 253-nucleotide ribosomal RNA is filed under the name uncultured bacterium. RNAcentral's name for it is "partial 16S ribosomal RNA". It matches the Rfam family "Bacterial small subunit ribosomal RNA", at positions 524 to 776 of the family's 1533-position model. The record is from RNAcentral.
UACAGAGGUCUCAAGCGUUGUUCGGAUUCAUUGGGCGUAAAGGGUGCGUAGGCGGCGCGGUAAGUCGGGUGUGAAAUCUCGGAGCUUAACUCCGAAACUGCAUUCGAUACUGCGUGGCUAGAGUACUGGAGAGGAUGGUGGAACUCUCGGUGUAGAGGUGAAAUUCGUAGAUAUCGAGAAGAACACCGGUGGCGAAGGCGGCCAUCUGGACAGAUACUGACGCUGAGACGCGAAAGCGUGGGGAGCAAACAGG